UUUUAAUGAGAGUUUGAUCCUGGCUCAGGACGAACGCUGGCGGCGUGCCUAAUACAUGCAAGUAGAACGCUGAAGAGAGGAGCUUGCUCUUCUUGGAUGAGUUGCGAACGGGUGAGUAACGCGUAGGUAACCUGCCUGGUAGCGGGGGAUAACUAUUGGAAACGAUAGCUAAUACCGCAUAAAAUGGAUUAU
RNAcentral lists this ribosomal RNA (192 nucleotides) under Streptococcus oralis subsp. tigurinus 2425. Its description in RNAcentral is "partial 16S ribosomal RNA". It matches the Rfam family "Bacterial small subunit ribosomal RNA", at positions 1 to 186 of the family's 1533-position model. The record is from RNAcentral. Lineage: Bacteria; Bacillati; Bacillota; Bacilli; Lactobacillales; Streptococcaceae.